GAUGAACGCUGGCGGCGUGCCUAAUACAUGCAAGUCGAGCGAACGGACGAGAAGCUUGCUUCUCUGAUGUUAGCGGCGGACGGGUGAGUAACACGUAGAUAACCUACCUAUAAGACUGGGAUAACUUCGGGAAACCGGAGCUAAUACCGGAUGAUAUUUUGAACCGCAUGGUUCAAAAGUGAAAGACGGUCUUGCUGUCACUUAUAGAUGGAUCCGCGCUGGAUUGGCUAGUUGGUAAGGUAACAGCUUACCAAGGCAACGAUGCAUAGCCGACUUGAGAGGAGGAUCGACCAUCCUGGAACUGAGACACGAUCCAGACUCCUACGUGAGGCAGCAGUAGGGAAUCUUACGCAAUGUGCAAAAGCCUGACGGAGCAACGCGGCGUGAGUGAUGUAGGUCUGCGGAUCGUAAAACUCUGUUAUUAGGGAAGAACAGAUGUGUAAGUAACUGUGCAGAUCUAGACGGUACCUAAACAGAAAGCCACGGCUAACUACGU
This 496-nucleotide ribosomal RNA is filed under the name uncultured bacterium. Its description in RNAcentral is "partial 16S ribosomal RNA". It matches the Rfam family "Bacterial small subunit ribosomal RNA", at positions 28 to 506 of the family's 1533-position model. The record is from RNAcentral.